Opisthocomus hoazin is the source of this 389-nucleotide non-coding RNA. The record is from Rfam. Lineage: Eukaryota; Metazoa; Chordata; Aves; Opisthocomiformes; Opisthocomidae.
CUGCUGGCUCAUGGUCAACCUGUCGUCCACUAGGACACCCAGGUCCCUCUCCACAGAGCUGACCACGUUUUUUCACUUACCCAGUGAGGCAGGGGGGCGAGUCCCGAGGGGGGCUCUCGCUUCUGGCACAAGCGCCUGGCAUGCGCCAGGUGCGACCCUCUCCGGGGACAGCGACAGGUGGGGAGUUUGACUGGGGCGGUACACCUGUCACAGCAUAACGCAGGUGUCCUAAGGCGAGCUCAGGGAGGACGGAAACCUCCCAUGGAGCAGAAGGGCAAAAGCUCACUUGAUCUUGAUUUUCAGUACGAAUACAGACUGGGAAAGCAGGGCCUCACGAUCCUUCUGGCUUUUUGGGUUUUAAGUAGAAGGUGUCAGAAAAGUUACCGCAG